RNAcentral lists this ribosomal RNA (446 nucleotides) under uncultured phototrophic eukaryote. Its description in RNAcentral is "bacterial SSU rRNA". It matches the Rfam family "Bacterial small subunit ribosomal RNA", at positions 441 to 907 of the family's 1533-position model. The record is from RNAcentral.
AGACAAGAAGAUAUGACGGUAUCUAAGGAAUAAGCAUCGGCUAACUCCGUGCCAGCAGCCGCGGUAAGACGGAGGAUGCAAGCGUUAUCCGGAAUUAUUGGGCGUAAAGCGUCUGUAGGUGGUUUACUCAGUCCGCUGUGAAAGAUCAGGGCUUCACCCUGAACACGCGGUGGAAACCGGUAGACUUGAGUACGGUAGGGGCAGAGGGAAUUCCCGGUGGAGCGGUGAAAUGCGUAGAGAUCGGGAAGAACACCAAUAGCGAAAGCACUCUGCUGGGCCGUAACUGACACUGAGAGACGAAAGCUAGGGUAGCGAAUGGGAUUAGAUACCCCAGUAGUCCUAGCCGUAAACGAUGGAUACUAAGUGCUGUGCAUUCGACCAGUACUGUAGCUAACGCGUUAAGUAUCCCGCCUGGGGAGUAUGCUCGCAAGAGUGAAACUCAAAGG